CCAAUAGCGUAUAUUAAAGUUGUUGCAGUUAAAAAGCUCGUAGUUGAAUUUCGGGGUCAGCAGGUUGGUCGUGCCACUGGUAUGCACUGGCUUCGCUGAUUCCUCCCUCUUGUAGAACCGUAAUGCCAUUAAGUUGGUGUUGCGGGGAAACAGGACUGUUACUUUGAAAAAAUUAGAGUGUUUAAAGCAGGCUAACGCUUGAAUACAUUAGCAUGGAAUAAUGAAAUAGGAAGAUCGAUCCUAUUUUGUUGGUUUCUAGGAUUGACGUAAUGAUUAAUAGGGAUAGUUGGGGGCAUUAGUAUUCAAUUGUCAGAGGUGAAAUUCUUGGAUUUAUUGAAGACUGACUACUGCGAAAGCAUUUGCCAAGGAUGUUUUCAUUAAUCAAGAACGAAAGUUAGGGGAUCGAAGACGAUCAGAUACCGUCGUAGUCUUAACCAUAAACUAUGCCGACUAGGGAUCGGAUGAUGUUAAUUUUUUAAUGACUCAUUCGGCGCCUUACG
RNAcentral lists this ribosomal RNA (500 nucleotides) under uncultured Glomeromycotina. RNAcentral describes it as "partial small subunit ribosomal RNA". It matches the Rfam family "Eukaryotic small subunit ribosomal RNA", at positions 591 to 1092 of the family's 1831-position model. The record is from RNAcentral. Lineage: Eukaryota; Fungi; Glomeromycota.